This 253-nucleotide ribosomal RNA is filed under the name uncultured bacterium. RNAcentral's name for it is "partial 16S ribosomal RNA". It matches the Rfam family "Bacterial small subunit ribosomal RNA", at positions 524 to 776 of the family's 1533-position model. The record is from RNAcentral.
UACGGAGGGGGCUAGCGGUGUUCGGAAUUACUGGGCGUAAAGCGCACGUAGGCGGACUGUUAAGUCGGGGGUGAAAUCCCGGGGCUCAACCCCGGAACUGCCUUCGAUACUGGCAGUCUAGAGGAAGGUAGAGGCUAGUGGAAUGGCGAGUGUAGAGGUGAAAUUCGUAGAUAUUCGCCGGAACACCAGUGGCGAAGGCGACUGGCUGGACCUUUUCUGACGCUGAGGUGCGAAAGCGUGGGGAGCAAACAGG